CCACAUGACUCUCGGCAACGGAUAUCUCGGCUCUCGCAUCGAUGAAGAACGUAGCGAAAUGCGAUACCUGGUGUGAAUUGCAGAAUCCCGCGAACCAUCGAGUCUUUGAACGCAAGUUGCGCCCGAGGCCACCCGGCCGAGGGCACGCCUGCCUGGGCGUCACGC
Molecule: ribosomal RNA, 165 nt
Filed under: Glyceria elata
Lineage: Eukaryota; Viridiplantae; Streptophyta; Magnoliopsida; Poales; Poaceae
Description: 5.8S ribosomal RNA
Rfam family: 5.8S ribosomal RNA
About the family: 5.8S ribosomal RNA (5.8S rRNA) is a component of the large subunit of the eukaryotic ribosome. It is transcribed by RNA polymerase I as part of the 45S precursor that also contains 18S and 28S rRNA. Functionally, it is thought that 5.8S rRNA may be involved in ribosome translocation.
Source: RNAcentral